GAUGAACGCUGGCGGCGUGCCUAAUACAUGCCAGUCGAGCGAACGGACGAGAAGCUUGCUUCUCUGAUGUUAGCGGCGGACGGGUGAGUAACACGUGGAUAACCUACCUAUAAGACUGGGAUAACUUCGGGAAACCGGAGCUAAUACCGGAUAAUAUUUUGAACCGCAUGGUUCAAAAGUGAAAGACGGUCUUGCUGUCACUUAUAGAUGGAUCCGCGCUGCAUUAGCUAGUUGGUAAGGUAACGGCUUACCAAGGCAACGAUGCAUAGCCGACCUGAGGGGGUGAUCGUCCACACUGGAACUGAGACACGAUCCAGACUCCUACGGGAGGCAGCAGUAGGGAAUCUUCCGCAAUGGGCGAAAGCCUGACGGAGCAACGCCGCGUGAGUGAUGAAGGUCUUCGGAUCGUAAAACUCUGUUAUUAGGGAAGAACAUAUGUGUAAGUAACUGUGCACAUCUUGACGGUACCUAAUCAGAAAGCCACGGCUAACUACGUG
Molecule: ribosomal RNA, 497 nt
Filed under: uncultured bacterium
Lineage: Bacteria
Description: partial 16S ribosomal RNA
Rfam family: Bacterial small subunit ribosomal RNA
Source: RNAcentral